GACGAACGCUGGCGGCGUGCCUAAUACAUGCAAGUAGAACGCUGAAGGAGGAGCUUGCUUCUCUGGAUGAGUUGCGAACGGGUGAGUAACGCGUAGGUAACCUGCCUGGUAGCGGGGGAUAACUAUUGGAAACGAUAGCUAAUACCGCAUAAUAGCAGUUGUUGCAUGACAACUGUUUGAAAGGUGCAAUUGCACCACUACCAGAUGGACCUGCGUUGUAUUAGCUAGUUGGUGGGGUAACGGCUCACCAAGGCGACGAUACAUAGCCGACCUGAGAGGGGGAUCGGCCACACUGGGACUGAGACACGGCCCAGACUCCUACGGGAGGCAGCAGUAGGGAAUCUUCGGCAAUGGACGGAAGUCUGACCGAGCAACGCCGCGGGAGUGAAGAAGGGUUUCGGAUCGUAAAGCUCGGUUGUAAGAGAAGAACGAGUGUGGGAGUGGAAAGUUCACACUGUGACGGUAUCUUACCAGAAAGGGACGGCUAACUACGUG
Molecule: ribosomal RNA, 495 nt
Filed under: uncultured bacterium
Lineage: Bacteria
Description: partial 16S ribosomal RNA
Rfam family: Bacterial small subunit ribosomal RNA
Source: RNAcentral